UAGGCUGAAUUAUUGAAGAUUUCAGCAUAUCAGCAAUUAACUUCUCUCUCUCAGCCUUCUGGUAGUGAGGAUACCUGUAGGGCCUAAUAUUGAUUGGUUGAGCAUGUGUCUGCAUCGGAAUAGCAUGGUUAUGACUUCUGAAUGGAGGCAUCCCUUCAGGUUCUGCAAAGAUGCCCUUAUACUUCUGAAUCAAUUGCUGCAGCGUCUCAUCUUCAAUAGAAUCAACAGUUGCAGCAGCUAACGAAUUUGCAGACACACUGGAAUCCACGAUGCAAAAUAAAGGAAGAGGAGGGACUAGGAUGUG
RNAcentral lists this unclassified non-coding RNA (304 nucleotides) under Hevea brasiliensis (rubber tree). Lineage: Eukaryota; Viridiplantae; Streptophyta; Magnoliopsida; Malpighiales; Euphorbiaceae. The record is from RNAcentral.